Cucumis melo (muskmelon) is the source of this 936-nucleotide long non-coding RNA. RefSeq lists it as uncharacterized. Lineage: Eukaryota; Viridiplantae; Streptophyta; Magnoliopsida; Cucurbitales; Cucurbitaceae. The transcript is spliced from 3 exons. The record is from RefSeq and is a predicted model, not a curated record.
UAACCCUCACAUAUAAAUACCUUCUUUAGGGUUUUUUCAACCUUAUACACUCUCAAACUCCCGUUAUUUUCAUUUUCAUUGCAGCUUCUUCAAUAACACUAAUCAUGGCUAAAUGAGGAGGAGUUCGUGGCAAGUUUGGCAGAAGCUUCAGUGGUAGAGGUCGUGGUGGCGAUCAUGGUUGUGGAUGUCAUUGUGUUGGUUACCGUGACGAACAGGGUUGUUCUUCUAUCGACAUUGCAUAGUUUUUCGCUUGAGCAUGGUGACUUUUUGCUUAGACAUAAUCUAGAAAUGAUGCUGCAAAAGAACAAGUGGAAGUUCGGCUGAAUUUUGAUUUUCUUUCUGAGGGUCUGAAACUUUGAGGGGUUUUUGCUGAUCUUCUAACCUUCUUGACUUGAAUACGACACCUAGUGAUCCUUCUAUUUUUGAGGUUGUUGAUUUGGCCUCUGGUUCCCCAGCUGUGCCUGAGGGUGAUCCCUUCCGCUUCUGCCCUACCUUCUGUUUUUGUUCAUCCUUCAAGUGUUUGUUCUACUUCUCCGGAUACUAUGGGUUCUUCAUCCAUCCCCAAGGUGUCAAGAAGACCUCUUAUCAAGGGUCAAAUAGUGGUUACAAUCAAGGCCGUCUGUCAUAAGCUCCCUCUGAAUGUACCUCCUGUGCCUAUUGACGAUGUCUCAUUCCAUUAAGAGGAAAGUGUUCACAAAUGGAAAUAUGUUGUUCAUUAUCGAAUUGCUAAUGAGCUUAAUAUUUUCGACAAGCAUCAAUCGUGUACUUCUUUAAUUGAGCUCAUUUAGAAUCUUUGGUUAAUGAAAAUUGUCUUUGAGGUUGGUCCCUUUUACCCUCGUUUGAUUGGGGAGUUAAUUGUUUAUCUUCCCACUUACUUUAAUGACCUUAGUCCCGAUGAAUUUCAAAAAGUACAUGUGCAUUAAGUCCGCUUUACUA